This 453-nucleotide ribosomal RNA is filed under the name uncultured bacterium. RNAcentral describes it as "bacterial SSU rRNA". It matches the Rfam family "Bacterial small subunit ribosomal RNA", at positions 29 to 524 of the family's 1533-position model. The record is from RNAcentral.
AGCGAACGCUGGCGGCAGGCUUAACACAUGCAAGUCGAACGGGCGUAGCAAUACGUCAGUGGCAGACGGGUGAGUAACGCGUGGGAACGUACCUUUUGGUUCGGAACAACCCAGGGAAACUUGGGCUAAUACCGGAUAAGCCCUUACGGGGAAAGAUUUAUCGCCGAAAGAUCGGCCCGCGUCUGAUUAGCUAGUUGGUGUGGUAACGGCGCACCAAGGCGACGAUCAGUAGCUGGUCUGAGAGGAUGAUCAGCCACAUUGGGACUGAGACACGGCCCAAACUCCUACGGGAGGCAGCAGCGGGGAAUAUUGGACAAUGGGCGCAAGCCUGAUCCAGCCAUGCCGCGUGAGUGAUGAAGGCCCUAGGGUUGUAAAGCUCUUUUGUGCGGGAAGAUAAUGACGGUACCGCAAGAAUAAAGCCCCGGCUAACUUCGUGCCAGCCGCCGCGGUAAC